GCUGGGUGCAGUGGCGCACACCUGUAAUUCCAGUGGCUUGGGAAGCUGAGGCUGGAGGAUUGAGAGUUCAAAGCCAGCCUCAG
RNAcentral lists this small RNA (83 nucleotides) under Marmota monax (woodchuck). The record is from RNAcentral. Lineage: Eukaryota; Metazoa; Chordata; Mammalia; Rodentia; Sciuridae.